Molecule: ribosomal RNA, 1298 nt
Filed under: marine metagenome
Description: bacterial LSU rRNA
Rfam family: Bacterial large subunit ribosomal RNA
Source: RNAcentral
GUACCGGGGGUAGAGCACUGAAUGGGCUAGGGGGCCUACAAGCUUACCAACCCCAAUCAAACUCCGAAUACCGAAUACAUGAUGUACAGCAGUGAGGCUGCGGGCGAUAAGGUUCGUAGCCGAGAGGGAAACAACCCAGAUCAACAGCUAAGGUCCCAAAGUCAAUGCUAAGUGAAAAAGGAUGUCAAAUCGCCCAGACAGCUAGGAGGUUGGCUUAGAAGCAGCCAUCCUUUAAAGAAAGCGUAAUAGCUCACUAGUCGAGGGAUUUUGCGCCGAAAAUAACCGGGACUAUAAGCAUUGCACCGAAGCUUUGAACUCAAUUUAUUGAGUGGUAGGCGAGCGUUCCAUCCACCGUUGAAGGUUGACCCGCGAGGGCAGCUGGAGGAAAUGGAAAUGAGUAUGCUGGCAUGAGUAGCGAUAAACAUAGUGAAAUUCUAUGUCACCGUAAGCCCAAGGUUUCCUGAGUAAAGUAACUCUUCUCAGGGUUAGUCGGACCCUAAGCCGAGGCCGAAAGGCGUAGGCGAUGGAAAACGGGUAAAAUAUUCCCGUACCAGCGAUUGAUUGUUUGAACUAUGGGGGGACGCAGGAGUGAAAGGUUAGCACGGUAUUGAAUGUCCGUGUCUAAGCAUGUAGGGUGGUCCGGUAGGCAAAUCCGCCGGAUCUUAUAACCUGAGAUGCGAAUGGGAAGCGCGCCUUCGGGCAAGCCAACUAACCCUAAUCAUACUGCCAAGAAAAUCCUCUAUGUGAGAUCAAUAGCUGACCGUACCGUAAACGGACACACGUGGGCGAGGAGAGCAUCCUAAGGUGCUUGGGAGAAUCAUGGUUAAGGAACUCGGCAAAAUAGCCCCGUAACUUCGGGAGAAGGGGUGCCCUUAUUAGGUGGAGAUCUUCGCGAUCCGAGCUGAACAGGGCCGCAGUGAAGAGGCCCAAUCGACUGUUUAACAAAAACACAGGUCUAUGCUAAGUCGUAAGACGAAAUAUAUGGACUGACACCUGCCCGGUGCCGGAAGGUUAAAUGGAGAGGUUAGUCCCGCUUGCGGGACGAAGCUUUGAAAUGAAGCCCCGGUAAACGGCGGCCGUAACUAUAACGGUCCUAAGGUAGCGAAAUUCCUUGUCGGGUAAGUUCCGACCUGCACGAAUGGUGUAACGAAUUGGGCACUGUCUCAACCAUGACCCCAGCGAAAUUGAAGUGUCGGUGAAGAUGCCGGCUACCCGCAGCAGGACGAAAAGACCCCGUGAACCUUUACUACAACCUAGUAUUGGAUUCUGAUUCUAUACGUGUAGGAUAGGUGGGAGGC